Chroicocephalus ridibundus (black-headed gull) is the source of this 3948-nucleotide long non-coding RNA. RefSeq lists it as uncharacterized. The transcript is spliced from 3 exons. NCBI's taxonomy places the organism in Eukaryota, Metazoa, Chordata, Aves, Charadriiformes, Laridae. The record is from RefSeq and is a predicted model, not a curated record.
AAACUGUUUGGCCUGUUGUUUUCCAACCAGAUGGCCGCUGCGGCGCGAGCCAUGGCCUGCGAUUUCGGGCGGGUGCAUGCCGGGAUGCGGAGCCCUCCUCCGCCUGGAUGCGAGGUUUUUUGCCUCGUGACAACACGGAGCUUUCACAGCACAAACAAGUCCAAGGGACAGAUGAAUUUCCUUGGCUACAAAGAAUAUUCUGAUAUAAUUCGGCUCCUAGCGAGUCGCUAGGAUGCCUAACAUCAGGCUUCAGCCCCCGUCUGCAUCCGAGCGAGAGCAACGGAUGCUCCCUGAGAUACCGAAACGCCGGGCACGACCUCGGGAUGGGUAAAAAACUCGGCACAAGUGUGAAAUCCCGACUUCUGGGUGCAAAAAGAGGGAGCCCCACCUCGAAGCCAAUUAGAGCAGGAUCUGGCCCUCUCCGUGCUAGCGUCUGAUGAAACGGAGUGGGAAUGAAUUCCAUUCCGAGCCAUCUGAUUUCACGAGAGACCCUCUAAGAAUAAUUCUGCAGAUGCUUAAUGUGAUUUCAACACGAAAAGCAGGAAAGACAGCGAAGAUGAUAGAAAACGACUACAGAAUUUAUACCUUCCCCUCCUUCCUUCAAGCCCUGCACAUCCUGCGCGUGUCCUGGCAUGAAAACUGCAAAAAACGCCGUGCAAACAGAACGAUUCCUGCUCGGGUUUUAUUGCCCUGAAACAAAGAGGUGGCCACUGAAGGUGUAUGUAGCCACCGGUCCUGGACACACAGGGACCAGGCCAGGGGGAAAAUCUGUGGGUUUUUUAAAUGACUUUUUUUUUAAGCAAUGUUUUAAAUGCUGCUUACAGAGUGAAAAGAGGCAGCAUUGAAAUCGCGUGCUCGGGAUAUCGGUCAUUCACACCAUCCUGGGGAGCUCUAGAUGGUACCUCUGCGCCCUAAGUGGGGUUUGGGAAGCCAGAUCUCAAAAGCCCCGAGACAGAGACUGUCGCUGAUAAAAACACGUGACCACUAAUCUCUCUAUUUUUUUUUUAUAUUUUUUUUUAACUGCAUUUUUCCUUCCUGCUGUUUAGGGGGUUUAAACAGCCUUGAUUUUCUGUGGCUGACAACACACCCCAUAUGCUAUUUAUCUUGUCAGAACUCUCUCCCUCUGCCCUCAGCUCCCAUUUUGUUCUCAUUAAUAGUGAUUAUGAAAAAUGGGGCUAAAUACUUACUUUCAUAUGAUUUAUCCAAAUGUUGAACUGCGUAAUUGGAGACGCUAAGACAUUAUCCCUUCAGAUUCUGUCAAGACUCAAUUUCUGCAUUUGAUUUAAUUUUUAGACUCAUGACCCAUAACAGUACAUAUAUUUAUUGCCUUCAUGGUGGCUCGGCUGAACAAUAUAUCUAUCAGUCAGAAGCGGGAAGCUGCAUAUUAUUUAUAAGAAUUUAAAUAGUCAGUGUUUUUUAAGAACACUUGUCCUCAGCGUGCAGUUAUUAACACGGGGCCCCCAGAUACAACAAAAUUGGAAGUCAGCUGGAAGGAAUGCCCUUAUAAUGAAGAUAUUUAAUAACUGGCAUCAGGCUCUGCUUUUCCUGUCGGUGACAGAAGUGACGCACGAGCGAAGGGAGGGCUGCGGAAACCUCGCCUGCCCCCUUCCCGGCCCCGAUCCAGCCGCUUCCUCCCCUUCCACUCGCCACUGGGAAUUGCUCCUGUAUAAAAGGGGCCGACACAUUAAAUUUGGUCCUGCCUGCUUGGUCCCCCGCCGGAGAUGCGCGCGCCCGGGCGCCUGCACACGCGGUUUUCACGGGAGCGCAGGUCGCUGCAUCCCUCUCCCCCUCCCCAACCCAUCACCUCCCCGCCUGCUUUUCCCAAAUCACUUUUUCCUGGCUUUGGCCCCCACGGCCAGCUGCAUGCAAAUGCUUUAUCCGCAGCGAAGUGUGGCGACCGUGGGGAUUGUGGACGCCCAACUCGAAUCGAGCCCGAGACCCCUCUGGGCUUCACAGCCCGGAUCGCUGGGGCCGCGCGGAGCAGCGAGCUGCGGAACAAAGCCUGGCAGAAACCUCCGACCCACCGGCAACGCCACCCCGCUUCCCAAAUCAACGCUGACGCCUUGUCGAAAUUGUUAAUAAAACAAGUAAUCAAGCUGCUAAUAUCUGCAAGCACCAUUUUGGACUUAAAAAAAAAAAAAAAAAAGGAUAAUAGAGCAACCAUCAGGGAGUAUAGUUAAUGUAUGAAACAAUUACUGUAGUCAGAUGCUUAAAUAAGAGCCAUGGUGGCAACAAAUGCAUUACUGUACAGAGGAGCAGUUUACAGUACACAGGAUAUUUUAUUUGCAACGCCAGAAUGGAAGAGAACAACUCCGAGAUGAAGCCGGCGCAUUUAUGGCCAAUUUUUCUCCCGUGGCCUUUUUCGUUGCCGUGAAACCUGCCGGCACCCGCGUGUGCGCACGCACGCAUACCCGCGCACACGGAGAUGGUUUUAACUUAGGAUUAUUUGUUGUAGAAACUCAGGUAAUUAAAGCACGCUCAUCUACUGCCGGCUAGUUCAUGUCAGUGGUUGUCCGUCUUUUAAACGCAAGCGCAGUAACGGGCCAGGAGAGCUUUCUUGUAGGUAGCCCUUUUACCCAAAAGCUUCCCCUUGCCAUUUUGAUAAGGAUCUAAAGGCUAAUCUUUUAUUUUUCAGCUAGCCCUGCCACUUGGGCAUGGCUCUUCCCUCCUUGGGAGACUCCUGCAGGGAACAAUAAGAAUAUUGAUUUAUAUGGUUUUUUUUUUAGACUUGUAAUACCGCAAUGAUUUCCAGCCCCCUCCACCCCGCCUUAUUUUCUCCAGCAUUUGGUGGGCUUUGACCAGCUUUAAUUGCUACAAAGCUCUCCUGUUUUCUCUCGUUCGCACUAAAUCCGUGACCUGCUCCCCGCCGCACGGCAGCGGUUGGGAUUCCUCAUUGUCUCCUUAAUCCCGGUUCCUCUGUUGGGCACUUUCCUCCGCCGGGAACACAAACUGCCCGGAGAAACCCAAAACUCGGCGAAAAAAAAAAUAUCAAGAACAAAAAAGAAAGGGGUGGCCGGGACAUCCUCCAACCAGGACAGACAGCGGGGCAGGCGUUGGCCGGGAGAGGGCUGCUGGGGAGGAGUUCUGCCGGCUUUCGUUUGAGCCUGAAUCUAAGUGUAGAAGGACCCAAACUGGCUUAACUGGAGCACAGCGGGUUGGUUCAGAAAGAUUUAUGCCCGUGCAGCCCUUCAACCCGAUCGGGAGAAAAACAGAAGUAUUAAGUAUUGCCACUGAUAAUUUUUUUAUUAAACCCCACCUUUUAGAAAUCCCGAAAUUUCCAUUUAUGAAAUAUUUUUCCCUGUGGUGAACUCAGCUCAAUUUUUUUUUAAUGCAUACCGGAUAUUUCAGUUGUUUGCCCGCCUUUCAUUUCAGAGUUUAAAAAUAUCACCUUCAGCAACGACGUCAGCUCUCUGGUUUUGAUUUUAUGCCCCACUCUGCAUACAGGCAGAACUCAACGCCAGCAAAACUGCUCUACGCCUCCCUUAAAACACCUGGAGAUGGUGAUGUACUGCGCAAUUCCUUCUGCUUGUGUUACAGACCGAGCAACGACAAUAACCGCACCUCAGGUUAUCCGGCGCUUCACGUUAAAUCUCAGCUGUACGUUGUUUAGUAUUUGGACUACUUUUAGCCCAAAGUUUCAGCACAAACAUGAGACUCCUUUCUCAGAGUAAGACCAAUGAAGAUCAGAAAGGUCUGUGCAAUAAAUAAGUGGGUUUGGAGCCUGGCGCGCCACGCGCUUGCUGGGUGAUCUGCCCGCACGGGGCGGUUGGCAAAGGGCUGUGCGCUCUUCCCACCCACCUCCAGGAACUUUGCGUUUGUCCAUUGCCCUAGUGCUCCCUGCUUCCCGCGGGAAAUAGAUUUAGGGCUGGAAAUCCUGAGGUUAACUAGCUACAAAUGGUAUUUAGCUAUUAAAAGCAUCGGCCGGUCUCGAGGCUGAGCAUCCAUGGG